GCAUUGGUGGUUCAGUGGUAGAGCUCUCACCUUCCAUGAGGGAGACCCAAGUUCGAUUCCCGGCCAAUGCC
Molecule: transfer RNA, 71 nt
Filed under: Loxodonta africana (African savanna elephant)
Lineage: Eukaryota; Metazoa; Chordata; Mammalia; Proboscidea; Elephantidae
Rfam family: tRNA
About the family: Transfer RNA (tRNA) molecules are approximately 80 nucleotides in length. Their secondary structure includes four short double-helical elements and three loops (D, anti-codon, and T loops).
Source: Rfam by way of RNAcentral